RNAcentral lists this ribosomal RNA (252 nucleotides) under uncultured bacterium. RNAcentral's name for it is "partial 16S ribosomal RNA". It matches the Rfam family "Bacterial small subunit ribosomal RNA", at positions 524 to 776 of the family's 1533-position model. The record is from RNAcentral.
UACGGAGGAUGCGAGCGUUAUCCGGAUUUAUUGGGUUUAAAGGGUGCGCAGGCGGAUUUUUAAGUCAGCGGUCAAAUCGUGGGGCUCAACCCCAUCCAGCCGUUGAAACUGUAUAUCUAGAGUGUCGGAGAGGCAAGUGGAAUUCCUGGUGUAGCGGUGAAAUGCGUAGAUAUCAGGAGGAACACCAGUGGCGAAGGCGGCUUGCUGGACGAUGACUGACGUUGAGGCUCGAAAGCGUGGGGAGCAAACAGG